CAGUCGCCGCGGUAAUACGUAGGUCCCGAGCGUUGUCCGGAUUUAUUGGGCGUAAAGCGAGCGCAGGCGGUUUGAUAAGUCUGAAGUUAAAGGCUGUGGCCCAACCAUAGUUCGCUUUGGAAACUGUCAAACUUGAGUGCAGAAGGGGAGAGUGGAAUUCCAUGUGUAGCGGUGAAAUGCGUAGAUAUAUGGAGGAACACCGGUGGCGAAAGCGGCUCUCUGGUCUGUAACUGACGCUGAGGCUCGAAAGCGUGGGGAGCGAACAGGAUUAGAUACCCCUGUAGUCCCUGUCUCUUAUACA
This 301-nucleotide ribosomal RNA is filed under the name uncultured bacterium. RNAcentral's name for it is "partial 16S ribosomal RNA". It matches the Rfam family "Bacterial small subunit ribosomal RNA", at positions 509 to 808 of the family's 1533-position model. The record is from RNAcentral.